Molecule: ribosomal RNA, 115 nt
Filed under: Escherichia coli
Lineage: Bacteria; Pseudomonadati; Pseudomonadota; Gammaproteobacteria; Enterobacterales; Enterobacteriaceae
Description: partial 16S ribosomal RNA
Rfam family: Bacterial small subunit ribosomal RNA (bases 1-103)
Source: RNAcentral
UAGCUUAACCUUCGGGAGGGCGCUUACCACUUUGUGAUUCAUGACUGGGGUGAAGUCGUAACAAGGUAACCGUAGGGGAACCUGCGGUUGGAUCACCUCCUUAYCUUAAAGAAGC